GCAUGGUUUAGUGGUUUGAGAGUUGGACUACAACUCUGUAGACCAGGGUUCAAACCCCUGCUCACGCA
Molecule: non-coding RNA, 68 nt
Organism: Phrynosoma platyrhinos (Desert horned lizard)
Lineage: Eukaryota; Metazoa; Chordata; Lepidosauria; Squamata; Phrynosomatidae
Source: the annotation of a GenBank genome assembly